RNAcentral lists this long non-coding RNA (320 nucleotides) under Androctonus crassicauda. Lineage: Eukaryota; Metazoa; Arthropoda; Arachnida; Scorpiones; Buthidae. The record is from RNAcentral.
AGCGUAGAGAGUGGAUGAGGAGUCGCCCCCAUAUUGGGGGCCGGAACUCUAGUGUUUUUGAGAGGAUCGCUUUUGAAAUUUCGGAGAUUUUUGGUUUUACUUGGGUGGCGAGCGCUCGGACAUUUGGCUGUAUGUUGUGGUGGCGUGGUGGAUGCGUUGGGGUACCGGGGAUCGGGGGUUGUAGGUUCGAUUCUCUGUGGUUCCCGCGUUUUUUUUUUCCUCUCUGGUCUUUUGUACUUUUUAAAAUUUACAUUAUAUUUGGAUUUUUAACAAUUAUUUAGCAAUUUUUGGAUGAUUAUUUCAAAUGUUUUGGGCGAUCG